Molecule: non-coding RNA, 82 nt
Organism: Pelobates cultripes (western spadefoot toad)
Lineage: Eukaryota; Metazoa; Chordata; Amphibia; Anura; Pelobatidae
Source: the annotation of a GenBank genome assembly
GCAUUGAAUUCCCAUUCAUAAAACUGUCUUGAAAAAGGUACGUUUCUUUUCAAGCCAGUUUUAUGAAUGGGGGAUUCAAUGA